AACGAACGCUGGCGGCAGGCCUAACACAUGCAAGUCGAGCGAGAUCUUCGGGUCUAGCGGCGGACGGGUGAGUAACGCGUGGGAAUAUGCCUCUUGGUACGGGAUAGCCUCGUGAAACUGGGGGUAAUACCGGAUGAGUCCUUCUGGGGGAAGAUUUAUCGCCAAGGGAUUAGCCCGCGUUGGUUUAGGUAGUUGGUGGGGUAAUGGCCUACCAAGCCUGCGAUCCAUAGCUGGGUUGAGAGGAUGAUCAGCAACACUGGGACUGAGAGACGGCCCAGACUCCUACGGGUGGCCGCAGUGGGGAACCAUCGACACCGGGGGCAACCAUGAUCUAGUCAGGUCGUGUGAGUGUUGAAGGGCGUAGGGUAGUAAAGCUCUUUCAGCUGGGAAGAUAAUGCGGGUACCAGAAGAAGAAGCCCCGGCUAAUUCCGG
Molecule: ribosomal RNA, 432 nt
Filed under: uncultured bacterium
Lineage: Bacteria
Description: partial 16S ribosomal RNA
Rfam family: Bacterial small subunit ribosomal RNA
Source: RNAcentral